Molecule: long non-coding RNA, 495 nt
Filed under: Mytilus galloprovincialis (Mediterranean mussel)
Lineage: Eukaryota; Metazoa; Mollusca; Bivalvia; Mytilida; Mytilidae
Source: RNAcentral
GCCUUAUUAAAUGUCAAAAUUAAAAGCUCGAACACAUCAAAAGAAUGGGAAAACAACUGUCUCAUUCCUGACUAAGUUGGAUAUUUCACUAUGUAUAAAUGAGUGCAUUAAACUUGGUUUUAUAGAUAGCUUAAUCUCUCAAUUAUACAUGUAUGGCGAUCGCAUGAAAUUCCAUUGUAUUGAAAACAAUAAUGUGUGAGAAAACCAAACAGACAUAAUACAUGUUGUAUUUAGUCUCAUUUUUUUUAAACAUAAAUAAAGCUGUUAGUUUUCUUGUUAGAAUUUGUUUGAUUUUUCACUUCGGGGCCUUUUAUAGCUUACUAUGCGGUAUGGGCGUUGUUCAUUGUUAAAGGCCAUACGGUGACAUAUGGUUACUUGCGGAGAGUUGUAUCAUUGGCAAUCAUACGAAAUCUUCUUUUUUUUCUAUGAUAGGAAACAAGGUACAAAUGGGGUACAAAAGUCAACACUCUCGUUUUCUGGAACAUUACUGGAAAC